RNAcentral lists this long non-coding RNA (1114 nucleotides) under Homo sapiens (human). RNAcentral's name for it is "long non-coding RNA NONHSAT005707". Lineage: Eukaryota; Metazoa; Chordata; Mammalia; Primates; Hominidae. The record is from RNAcentral.
UGAGGGACCCGGUUACCAACCCUCAUGUAGCUCAGUUUGCCCAUCUGUCCCCGUGCUAACACACAGUUCUCGGGAGACGUUCCCCAUUCCCAGAGGAGUAGUGCGAAAUGCGUGUGCCUCUAGUCUUAAGCUGGGCGUUUGUAUUAGUUGGGUUUCCUGGUGUCUAUUUAGCAAGUGAAGUUUCUGGUUCCCUCCUUCACUGUGUGACCUGCCUAGUCCUCCUGGAUUGCAUUUAUGGAAGUUUAUAGAGACCUAGUUUCCAUGGAGGAACUCACUGAUUCCGCCAGGGAGAUGGGGUACUGGAUGAUGGUCUUCAGCCUUAAGGGUACUUCAGUCUUAACUGUGUGUUAUAAAGUUUGAAAGGGAGGGUUCCCUAUGAAUAAGAAGCGCACUUGAAAGAACAGCCCUGUGGUCUAACCUCUCACUGGUGCUUCAGAGGAGGAUAAAAGGUCGCAGCUAUGUUUCCAGUGUCCUCUGGGUGUUUCCAAGAGCAACAAGAAACGAAUAAAUCUCUGGCUGCAUAAGGGGAGUAAACACAAAGUACAUUUGACCACAAAAUGACUUUUUAAAAGUCAGAACUAUGGUAGCAUGAAGCCAAACGAGGUCCACGUAAAGGCUCUGACACUUUCUUGGGGACACACUGCUAAGGGUUCCACAGAAGUCUCCAAUCUUUAAAUCUUCAGUGUAUGAAAGCACAGAUUCCUGAAAGAAUGGCCUCAAAUGACCAGGAGUAGGAGCUCUCUAUAUCCCUGCUCCUGAAAAACAAGCUAACUGGAGUCUCCAUCACCUGCCACCAGCUAUACACACUACCAACUACCCAACUGAACUCCAUGACUGAUUUUCCAGCUAAUCAUGCCCCUGACCCAGCCCACAUGGACAUGGGAAGGACAUCAGUGAACUGUGAAAAGAGGCAGAGGUGAGGAGACACCUGCCCUGUGCCACACAUCUAUGUAGUUCAGCAAUUUCCAUCCCCUUAGUACUCCAGGGGCUCUAAGCCACCCCUUUGUAAGUCAGGAUGGAAGUAGAUGACACCACAUUUCUAUCUGCUGUAGACAUUCUUCCCAGUGUCUCAAAAUGUUUUGGCAUCUUUCAGUAAAAAUCUUCAAGUUUGUCA